This 443-nucleotide long non-coding RNA is filed under the name Brassica rapa (field mustard). Its description in RNAcentral is "long non-coding RNA (BRAP_LNC007917)". The record is from RNAcentral. Lineage: Eukaryota; Viridiplantae; Streptophyta; Magnoliopsida; Brassicales; Brassicaceae.
AGCUCUAUACAGAAGAUACAAAACCCCAACAAAGCCGAGGAGAUAGGGAUGACUGCAGAUCCAUCUAUAGGAAGUUCUGAUCAUGAUGACGAAUAACCUCCGUAUAUGAACUCUGAACUCAGACCGAUCACUGAUCAUACUGUUUCCUUCUUCUUGUCCAGGUUGUUUUCUGUAUAAAGAAGUAAGAGCAACAAUCACGAAUCAGAUGGUGCAAGAUAACAUUACUAGAAUAAAUCUGAAACGAAGUUGACAUUUAUUAGAUAUGCAACUUUCAACCAUAAAUAAUAAUAAUCGGAUCUAACGCACACGAGUAGAGAGAGAAAGGUAAAUCAUUUCAAUCAGAUGGAGAAUUAGAUCGAGUAUUCUGAUGAACUCACUCACCAGUCUCACCAGGUACGAGCAACAGAUCGUGGAGAAAAUAGUUUGACUAAACUAUACAGUGA